This 252-nucleotide long non-coding RNA is filed under the name Homo sapiens (human). RNAcentral's name for it is "non-protein coding lnc-ERGIC2-6:1". Lineage: Eukaryota; Metazoa; Chordata; Mammalia; Primates; Hominidae. The record is from RNAcentral.
GCUAGAAAGCUGAGUCACCUUUGACACCUCCCUCUCUUUCACCUCCAUAUUGACCCACUAUGGAGUCCUGGCAUUUGCCUCCUGAAUAGCUUCUAAUCUUCUGCCUGGUCACGUCUACCACCACCACAUGACCUAAGCCACCACAGUGUCUUGUCUGGACUGUUGUAUUUCCUAACAAAUAUUCCUGCAUCCACUCUUACUCCUAUCAAUCCCCAACUCCAAACUCGUUGCCAGACUGCAGCCAGUCCCAGU